Molecule: ribosomal RNA, 497 nt
Filed under: uncultured bacterium
Lineage: Bacteria
Description: partial 16S ribosomal RNA
Rfam family: Bacterial small subunit ribosomal RNA
Source: RNAcentral
GAUGAACGCUGGCGGCGUGCCUAAUACAUGCAAGUCGAGCGAACAGACGAGGAGCUUGCUCCUCUGACGUUAGCGGUGGACGGGUGAGUAACACGUGGAUAACCUACCUAUAAGACUGGGAUAACUUCGGGAAACCGGAGCUAAUACCGGAUAACAUGUUGAACCGCAUGGUUCAACAGUGAAAGACGGUCUUGCUGUCACUUAUAGAUGGAUCCGCGCCGCAUUAGCUAGUUGGUAAGGUAACGGCUUACCAAGGCAACGAUGCGUAGCCGACCUGAGAGGGUGAUCGGCCACACUGGAACUGAGACACGGUCCAGACUCCUACGGGAGGCAGCAGUAGGGAAUCUUCCGCAAUGGGCGAAAGCCUGACGGAGCAACGCCGCGUGAGUGAUGAAGGUCUUCGGAUCGUAAAACUCUGUUAUUAGGGAAGAACAAAUGUGUAAGUAACUAUGCACGUCUUGACGGUACCUAAUCAGAAAGCCACGGCUAACUACGUG